GACGAACGCUGGCGGCGUGCCUAAUACAUGCAAGUUGAGCGAUGAAGAUUGGUGCUUGCACCAAUUUGAAGAGCAGCGAACGGGUGAGUAACGCGUGGGGAAUCUGCCUUUGAGCGGGGGACAACAUUUGGAAACGAAUGCUAAUACCGCAUAACAACUUUAAACAUAAGUUUUAAGUUUGAAAGAUGCAAUUGCAUCACUCAAAGAUGAUCCCGCGUUGUAUUAGCUAGUUGGUGAGGUAAAGGCUCACCAAGGCGAUGAUACAUAGCCGACCUGAGAGGGUGAUCGGCCACAUUGGGACUGAGACACGGCCCAAACUCCUACGGGAGGCAGCAGUAGGGAAUCUUCGGCAAUGGACCAAAGUCUGGCCGAGCAACGCCGCGUGAGUGAAGAAGGUUUUCGGAUCGUAAAACUCUGUUGGUAGAGAAGAACGUUGGUGAGAGUGGAAAGCUCAUCAAGUGACGGUAACUACCCAGAAAGGGACGGCUAACUACGUG
RNAcentral lists this ribosomal RNA (497 nucleotides) under uncultured bacterium. Its description in RNAcentral is "partial 16S ribosomal RNA". It matches the Rfam family "Bacterial small subunit ribosomal RNA", at positions 28 to 507 of the family's 1533-position model. The record is from RNAcentral.